AGAGCUGUUGUAUAGUUCGGGAUGAGUCAUUUGGUCUCCGUGCUUCUGUUCUUCAUCUGUAGCAUGGAAAAAAAUAGGACUUUGCCACCCCGCGGAAUUAAGAUAAAGAAACGUUAAAGACUGUGAGAUGCCUACUGCAAGAGAGUCAAAAACACCUCCAAAAAAAGCUAUUCCUGCACUCACUGUUCUUGCUUUUGGAUCACUUGAGGCAUCAGGAACAUAAAACAGUUUACAUUUACGCGCAGUUUAUAUUUAGCAGCGUUUCAAGUCUUAAAAAACACAAUCAUGGUUCUUGACCAAUAAAAAAGCCAAAACAUUUAGGCACAGAGAAAAACAGAUCACUAGAAGGUUGGGUCACUCACUCAUCAAGGAGCGGGUACAAAUACAGUUUUCGUUAGCUAGCGAGGUUAUUUCAAUAUCAGCGCAGAUGCAGGCUUUCCCAUAAACUAGGAGGUCAUGUGGACGAGGGGCACAGAAGAUGGCAAGUUCCAGUCUACCAAGCCCGCAGAUUCACACAAGUUUAGGGCUGGAAGGGACCUCAGAAGAUCAUCUGGGCAGGAAAGAUGGCUGGCCUCACACGUCACCCCAGUGCACCUUUGAUGACCAACGUGUCCGCGGUGCCUCCCAUCAGAAGAGCAGCAGGCUCAAGCCACCAGCGUCCAUCCUUCAAUCCUUCUGCCACUUUUCAAUCCUGCAACCUCUCAGGCAGCGCGGCAAACCCUCAGCUGCCCCGGAUAGGCGAAUUCCUUCCUUCCAGCCUAACCCGGGCAUACACCGAGCACCUUCGGCUGUCAUUGCAGUCACCGGGUAAGAGUGGUGAUUUGACAGGAAGCUUUGCAGCGCGAAGCCGCCUUCCAGCUCGCCCCUGGGCGCAUUUGCCCACUUCACACAACAAGGGUAUUGCACAGUGGGACUGGACCACAAAAAAGAGCUUGGUGCUGUAUACGAGACAGAGCAUCCCUUAUAUAUAUAUAUACACAGGACUACAUAUAUGGGAUGCUCUGGAAAACUAGAUGCAUUUUGAAAGCCCCUGGAUUGAAAUGUAAAGGUCGCCGGGACCCUCGACACCUUCCAGCGCCACACGGUCUUCCCCGAAAGCUCCCCUGGCCUUUGACACGGACCUCAGCAAAACCAUCUGCGAAGGCGCCGGCGGAGGGGGAGUGUUCAGCAGUGAAUUUCUCCGCCGGGAGGUAUUUGGACAGCUCCUCGCAACUUGUGCCAAAAGCCUUUCCAGCGGAGGAUGCCUGCCCGCCAUCGCUAGAGGCCAGUCCCCCCCUUGCAGCCCCAGUCUCCAUAGUAGCUGGGAGGAGGAGGAGGAGAUCCCACCGUUGCCCACCAUGGUUGUCCAAGGAAAACCUUCCAGCCUCUGCCUACCCUUGGUGUUUCAAGAGAGAACAAGGCAUUGAGGAAAUAAUUGCAGAAUGGCAUGCAUGGCACAUCUUCUGUUCUGACCUGAAUGAGUAGAAAAUCCUUUGCCUGGAAAGGAGCGAUUCCUUUUGCGUUCACCUGAUUCAACUGGGCUUCGUGCUGGGCUACUGUGCAUCUUCAAAGGAGCCUGCCUUGGUCCUGUGAUCUUUGAGUUUCCUUUUAGCCAACCUGGGCAUGCAGCUAAGGCCUGACUUAUACCAUGGGGUUUUGCUGGCUGAACUCUGGUGCACCUUCCUUCUCAUAGAGGCAGAACCCUGCCUCCCCGCUGAAAGAAGACUUCCGCCACCACACAACAGCUAGCAGAAGGCACAUGUAGACAAAAUUAGAUAUUUUGUCAGCAACUCGAAUCUCUUCUGAGCUAGCUUCCUGGGGCAUACUUUGCUCCUGCUGACUGGCACAACUCCGUAGGCAUGUCGAGCAGAAGCAGCCCAAUACAGACACAUUAUAAAUGACAGCAUAUUGUCCCUGACUUCACAGAACCCCCCUCCUACUGUCCUUGGGAUCUUGAUGGUCCACACUCCAGAGGACUUUGAGUCAUGCUUUGCUCCUCUCCUCUCAGUUCUUCCACUCAUCUAACCCUAACCACCUCCUCCCUGUCCUUUCUGUUACUGUGCUCCUAGCCUAUGCUUCUGGGGUGUCCAAAGGUCCUGAAGAUAUCAUUGCCCCAUAGCUAACUGCAUAAUGGUUUUUCUGGAUAGGUUUCCUCAUUCAGGGGGGCACUAGCAGGCUGCAGCGUGCAGAUAGAUCCUGCUAGGUUUGGCUCUACUGAAAGGACCCAAAAGCAGGACUAGCUUGAGUGCAGUGUGAUUCAGUUAUCUCCACAAGCCUCUGAUUCACAGCAGUAGAGAUUGGACUAGUCAGCACCUGGAAACAAAGCCUGAACACCCCACCCAGAGAGCUAGAGAAAGCCAGGGGAGGGAGAUUACUGGAUGCUUUGCUUAAUUUGAUCACUGCUUCUCUUCCACAUUCCCAGCCCUAUCCAGCUAGACAGCUACAGCCCUCCGGGGUCAUUUCAAGGCAAUUCCCAUCUGUGGUUGAGGAGGUUUUUAGCAGCAGGCAUUUCAAGGAGACAUUUUAUAAUCUUCCCAGUUGCUCUGCUUGUGAAGCUCUCCCCCACAAGCUGAGGGAAGAUGAAGCCAGAAGAACGGAUGAGCUUGACUGAGCAACAGAGCCAGGAACCCGGCUUUAGUGCAGGCUCUAAAAAUAAUUCUCCUUAGAGCAUGAUUUAUGCAGCACAGCGGAGCCGCUCUGCUCUCCCCGCUCUUGGCAGGCAAGUGAAGGCAUCAGCAGGCCAAAAGCUGCACCUCUGGGAGCUCUGGACUUGCAACAAAACCUCCCUUCCUACAGGUGUAGCUGCUGCCCUCUCCACCCCUGCUAGCUCAUGCGCAGCCAGGCCUCCCUGCAGACAUUUGCAACUCCCUUUCCCUUCCCCUUCUCAUUAUCCACCCUAGCCAAGGCACUUCCUCCUCCCCCCGGUAGUUUAUUAUUGGUUAGAAAUGUAGACGUCACCGAGACAACAACACACCGGCAAAGACAUGAACCUGGGAGGAAAAAAAAUCAAGAGGCUCUUUCUGCUUCCUCCCCCUGCCAAAUAUGCAGAGAUAAAUAAUAGAUCAGUGAAUUAUUCCAGCUUCUGUUUAACAGUGAACAUCUGGCAGCAGCUGGAGCUGGUGCUACAGCAUCAGGGAGUAUCAUGUUUAACCUGCAAAGUUGAAGCAACCUGCAGUUAUGUUUAAAGAUGCCAACAAAACAGUGAAAUGUCUAUAUCUAUUAGAGGGGGGUCCUUUGAUUUACAGAGAAGGAACAGACUAAGCCAGGGCUUGGUUUUGUGACCUUGGUGCCUGUUGCUGUUCACAUUGGCUUCACAGCGAGGGCUCCAAUAUGCUUGCUGGCAAGAGGAAUAUUAGAACCAUGCCCAAUUUUCCAGCAAACCAUGUUAAUGCUGUGGUUUAUGGUUUAGUGCUUCUAAAAUAGUAUGUGCUUCAUUUUUUUUUUCCUUGUUAACACACUACUUGCAUUGAGCUUCUAACAGUAAAACUAGAGUGGCUGAAAGGCCCAAGACCUGAUUCUGCAAUAAACAAAGUGCAAGUGUAACCCA
RNAcentral lists this long non-coding RNA (3526 nucleotides) under Crocodylus porosus (Australian saltwater crocodile). Its description in RNAcentral is "lncRNA (ENSCPRG00005008737.1)". Lineage: Eukaryota; Metazoa; Chordata; Crocodylia; Crocodylidae. The record is from RNAcentral.